AAAGCYACGGCUAACUACGUGCCAGCAGCCGCGGUAAUACGUAGGUGGCAARCGUUAUYCSGGAAWUAUGGGCGUAAAGCGCGCGCAGGCGGUUUCUUAAGUCUGAUGUGAAAGCCCACGGCUCAACCGWGGAGGGUCAUKGGAAACUGGGGAAACUGAGUGCAGAAGAGAAAAGCGGAAUUUCCACGUGUAGCGGSUGAAAUGCGUAGAGAUGUGGAGGAACACCMGUGGSGAAGGCGGCUUUUUUGGUCUGUAACUGACGCUGAGGGCGCGAAAGCGUGGGGAGCAAAACAGGAUUAGAUACCCUGGUAGUCCACGCCGUAAACGAUGAGUGCUAAGUGUUAGAGGGGUUUCCGCCCUUUAGUGCUGCAGCUAACGCAUUAAAGCACUCCGCCUGGGGAGUACGGUCGCAAGACUGAAACUCAAAGGAAUUGACGGGGGCCCGCACAAGCGGUGGAGCAUGUGGUUUAAUUCGAAGCAACGCGAAGAACCUUACCAGGUCUUGACAUCCUCUGACAACUCUAGAGAUAGAGCGUUCCCCUUCGGGGGACAGAGUGACAGGUGGUGCAUGGUUGUCGUCAGCUCGUGUCGUGAGAUGUUGGGUUAAGUCCCGCAACGAGCRCAACCCUUGAUCUUAGUUGCCAGCAUUYAGUUGGGCACUCUAAGGUGACUGCCGGUGACAAACCGGAGGAAGGUGGGGAUGACGUCAAAUCAUCAUGCCCCUUAUGACCUGGGCUACACACGUGCUACAAUGGAUGGUACAAAGGGCUGCAAGACCGCGAGGUCAAGCCAAUCCCAUAAAACCAUUCUCAGUUCGGAUUGUAGGCUGCAACUCGCCUACAUGAAGCUGGAAUCGCUAGUAAUCGCGGAUCAGCAWRMCGCGGUGAAUACGUUCCCGG
RNAcentral lists this ribosomal RNA (899 nucleotides) under Bacillus sp. (in: firmicutes). RNAcentral describes it as "bacterial SSU rRNA". The record is from RNAcentral. Lineage: Bacteria; Bacillati; Bacillota; Bacilli; Caryophanales; Bacillaceae.